GUGUCAGCAGCCGCGGUAAUACGGGGGGUGCAAGCGUUAUUCGGAUUUACUGGGCGUAAAGCGCGCGCAGGCGGUUUUGUAAGUCAGAUGUGAAAGCCCCGGGCUUAACCUGGGAAGUGCAUCUGAUACUGCAAGGCUUGAGUAUGGGAGAGGGAAGUGGAAUUCCUGGUGUAGAGGUGAAAUUCGUAGAUAUCAGGAGGAACAUCGGUGGCGAAGGCGACUUCCUGGACCAAUACUGACGCUGAGGCGCGAAGGCGUGGGGAGCAAACAGGAUUAGAUACCCUGGUAGUCCACGCAGUAAACGGUGAUCACUAGGUGUAGCGGGUAUUGACCCCUGCUGUGCCGAAGCUAACGCAUUAAGUGAUCCGCCUGGGGAGUACGGUCGCAAGAUUAAA
This 395-nucleotide ribosomal RNA is filed under the name uncultured bacterium. Its description in RNAcentral is "bacterial SSU rRNA". It matches the Rfam family "Bacterial small subunit ribosomal RNA", at positions 505 to 898 of the family's 1533-position model. The record is from RNAcentral.